Peromyscus leucopus (white-footed mouse) is the source of this 705-nucleotide long non-coding RNA. RefSeq lists it as uncharacterized. NCBI's taxonomy places the organism in Eukaryota, Metazoa, Chordata, Mammalia, Rodentia, Cricetidae. The record is from RefSeq and is a predicted model, not a curated record. The transcript has 2 exons.
UUCCUCAAGAAUCCUCUUUUGAGGAGGCAAUAGAAAGAGCACUGAGUCACACUUUUCAGGCUUAGCUUCCUGGGCGUUACCUGAUCAGCUCUGUUUGCCUACCGGAGAGUCUGGGGCCACAAGAUGAGGGUCAUGGCCUGAGAGCAACUGAGGACUUUCCACAGGCCUCUUGGUGGCAGUUGGGACUUGACCCCAGUGAGACCGAGUCCAGAAUCUGACACCUUGAACUGCAGACAAGCAUCGGCCUCAAGCAGCUGACCUGUCCCAUACAUUCCUUGGCAAGAGUGGCAGUCAAAAGAAUAUAGAAGACCUGGGCCCUCAGGGUGUGGUAAAGGCCACACCCGCAGCCUGCCUUUGCUGGCUACCUGCAAAGCUCUUCUCAUCAGAGCCCUGUCUUGCCUCAUUUCCGAUUCCCGCUUGCCACAAGAGACCACGGAGGCUCAAAGAUGUGGCUAUACACAUUCCUACAGCCCAGAGCUAAGGGACCAAGAUCUGCUCGGGACACUUGCUCCGCUGGCAUCAUUCUCAUUGCCGCUGACUCCAGCCUAGCCAUAUGAAGCCCCGCCGUGGGUGAACACAGCUACGGAACACCCAGCAGGCACCGCACGGCGGACUCUUCCGGAACGGUCACGUAUCAGGGAAGUGCAUGUCCUGGUGCGAUUCUGCUGUUUGACAAAUUAAAAGUUGGAGGAUUAGAGACCCAGA